RNAcentral lists this ribosomal RNA (401 nucleotides) under uncultured bacterium. RNAcentral describes it as "bacterial SSU rRNA". It matches the Rfam family "Bacterial small subunit ribosomal RNA", at positions 357 to 775 of the family's 1533-position model. The record is from RNAcentral.
GGGAAUAUUGCACAAUGGGGGAAACCCUGAUGCAGCGACGCCGCGUGAGUGAAGAAGUAUUUCGGUAUGUAAAGCUCUAUCAGCAGGGAAGAAAAUGACGGUACCUGAUUAAGAAGCCCCGGCUAACUACGUGCCAGCAGCCGCGGUAAUACGUAGGGGGCAAGCGUUAUCCGGAAUUACUGGGUGUAAAGGGAGCGUAGACGGCGAGGUAAGCCUGAAGUGGAAGCCCGCGGCCCAACCGCGGAACUGCUUUGGGAACUGUUUUGCUGGAGUAUGGGAGGGGUAAGCGGAAUUCCUGGUGUAGCGGUGAAAUGCGUAGAUAUCAGGAGGAACACCGGUGGCGAAGGCGGCUUACUGGACCAUAACUGACGUUGAGGCUCGAAAGCGUGGGGAGCGAACAG